Molecule: unclassified non-coding RNA, 743 nt
Filed under: Hevea brasiliensis (rubber tree)
Lineage: Eukaryota; Viridiplantae; Streptophyta; Magnoliopsida; Malpighiales; Euphorbiaceae
Source: RNAcentral
CCAUCUGUUGCUCUAACUGGCGGCACCGCUCUUCAAGUCUUCUUAUUGUCGCUUGUUGAUUUUUCAGAUGAGUUGCUUCCAUGCGAAAUUCUUCAAGUUCAACCUUCAUUUUUCGGUUCUCAGACUCUAAUUCUGAUAGCUUUGAAUCCUUUUCAGCAAUUGAAGCAAUGACUGGAUAAGGAUCUGGUGCCUCAUAUAGUUUUUGAUAAAUGUUAAGGAAAGCAUUUUCCCCAUACUUAGCUCUCUUGGUAAGAUUGUCAACCUCUUCUUGGUACCCCUUGAGCAAAGAGUUGAACAAGCUCAACUUGUCUUCACUUGAAGCUUUUUUAAAAUCUCGAGUGCUCUCUGCAAGUUUUCGUCGGUUCUUCUGACUGUUCUCCUGAUUCUCAGCAAUCCUAAGACCUUGCUCAUCUAGUGUACUCCUUUCUUUCUCCAAAUCAAAGUCUUUCCAGAAGCUGGCGACGGCAGCGAGGGGAGUAGAUGAAGACGUUGAGUUCGCCUUGUCUCUCUCCGGUCCUCCUCGCGGGGAAUCCAUUGCUGAUCCACCACAAAUUCAGCUUUUGCUCCGACAAAAACUUCAAUCUGUCUAUUUCUCCACUUAAUGCGAAGAAAUUGUUACGAAACGAUAGUUCUACUGGUUUUGAUAGAUCACAGAUCUCGAGCUUUGUGGUUCCUUUGAAAUUAAUUUUGUUGCAGCAUAGGAUGAAAGAGAGACGUGAGUUCGAUGGAGAAACAAAUCCGGG